RNAcentral lists this long non-coding RNA (637 nucleotides) under Sorghum bicolor (sorghum). RNAcentral describes it as "long non-coding RNA (SBIC_LNC017307)". Lineage: Eukaryota; Viridiplantae; Streptophyta; Magnoliopsida; Poales; Poaceae. The record is from RNAcentral.
GGGAAUGGCUGCUAUAUAAGCCGCCCCAACCGGCCUCUCUCCUCAACUCAACCCUAAUUUCAUUUCAUUCCCCACCCCAUCCACCGGCCGCCGCUGGUCAGGAGUCGCCUCGCCCUCGCCGUCGUCUCUGUCGCGCGUCAGUCGUGGAGAAGACGAAGGGAGUCCAGCAGGGGCGAGGGGGAGGGCGACGUCUGAUCGACACUGUCCCCACCCCUUCAUCUCGCCCUCCGACAGCGACAGCGGCAUCGACGGAGCCGGAGCUCCAAGGAAGCAGGUAAGCUCCGAGCCGUCCCUGUUCUUCACUUCUUCUUCUUCUCUGUCUCUGUUCUUCUUCUUCUUCUUCAGGUCUGCUGAUCCGCUGCUGCUCGGAUCUACUCAAGCUCAAGCUUCUUCGUCGCCGUCGACUGCUAGGUAAUCACUAGCUCAGAUCUGCUACUCCUCCUUUGUUCUUCCAUUUCUGAUCUGAUCUGAAGUAUUCUUCCUCUAAUCUGCUUCUUGUUUGCUCUGUUAUGGCAGCCGAUUGAGGCUAGGGCUAGGGCCCGUGAGGAGAAAGACGUCCGCUAGAACUUGCUAGAACUUGAUGUAAUAUGAGAACUUGAACUGUGAUGUAAAAACAUUGAACUAUAUGGAGCUUGGC